CGGCUGUCAGCGGGACCUGGUCGUCGAGUGCCUGGAACUCAUUUCGGCCAGGUAUUCUCACAAACACCAGUCUCUAUGGAUCUACUGCCUGUUCUAGUUCUCGUUCACCUAGAUGAACGGCGUUCGGGAAUUCCAGACUACCGAACACAGGGAGCAUUCUCCACGUACCAACUUGUCUAUAUUUUAUGUGAGUUUCAUGAAAAACCUCAUGAAUGGAGACCGGCUCUUGACACAAUUUCCAUGGAACUAUUUCUGAG
Non-coding RNA from Pelobates cultripes (western spadefoot toad), 257 nucleotides. The record is from the annotation of a GenBank genome assembly. NCBI's taxonomy places the organism in Eukaryota, Metazoa, Chordata, Amphibia, Anura, Pelobatidae.